GGAGUUAGCCGGUGCUUCUUCUGUGAGUGAUGUCCUUCCUGCCGGCUAUUAACCCGCAGGCCUUCUUCCUCACUGAAAGUGCUUUACAACCCGAAGGCCUUCUUCACACACGCGGCAUGGCUGGAUCAGGGUUGUCCCCCAUUGUCCAAUAUUCCCCACUGCUGCCUCCCGUAGGAGUCUGGGCCGUGUCUCAGUCCCAGUGUGGCUGAUCAUCCUCUCAGACCAGCUACGGAUCGUCGCCUUGGUGAGCCGUUACCUCACCAACCAGCUAAUCCGACAUAGGCUCAUCCGAUAGCGCGAGGCCCGAAGGUCCCCCGNUUUCCCCCGUAGGGCGUAUGCGGUAUUAGCCUGGGUUUCCCCAGGGUUAUCCCCCACUACCGGGCAGAUUCCUAUGCAUUACUCACCCGUCCGCCGCUCGCCACCAGGGAGCAAGCUCCCCGUGCUGCCGCUCGACUUGCAUGUGUUAGGCCUGCCGCCAGCGUUCAAUCUGAGCCAGGAUCAAACUCUGA
Molecule: ribosomal RNA, 509 nt
Filed under: uncultured bacterium
Lineage: Bacteria
Description: partial 16S ribosomal RNA
Source: RNAcentral